Molecule: transfer RNA, 74 nt
Organism: Kibdelosporangium phytohabitans
Lineage: Bacteria; Bacillati; Actinomycetota; Actinomycetes; Pseudonocardiales; Pseudonocardiaceae
Rfam family: tRNA
About the family: Transfer RNA (tRNA) molecules are approximately 80 nucleotides in length.
Source: Rfam
GCCCCCGUAGCCCAACAGGCAGAGGCAAGCCCCUUAAAAGGGUUGGAGUGCCGGUUCGAAUCCGGUCGGGGGCA